GUAGGUGGCAAGCGUUAUCCGGAAUUACUGGGCGUAAAGGGCGUGUAGGCGGGAAGACAAGUCAGGAGUGAAAUCCCAGGGCUUAACCCUGGAGCUGCUUCUGAAACUGUUUUUCUUGAGUAUCGGAGAGGAAAGUGGAAUUCCCAGUGUAGCGGUGAAAUGCGUAGAGAUUGGGAGGAACACCAGUGGCGAAGGCGGCUUUCUGGACGAUUACUGACGCUGAGGCGCGAAAGCGUGGGGAGCAAACAGGAUUAGAUACCCUGGUAGUCCACGCUGUAAACGAUGGAUACUAGGUGUGGGGGGUAUCGACCCCUCCCGUGCCGCAGUUAACACAAUAAGUAUCCCGCCUGGGGAGUACGGCCGCAAGGUUG
Molecule: ribosomal RNA, 371 nt
Filed under: uncultured bacterium
Lineage: Bacteria
Description: bacterial SSU rRNA
Rfam family: Bacterial small subunit ribosomal RNA
Source: RNAcentral